CCCCGGAGGCCUUACAGGUGUGGUUGCAGUGUCACGUGAGAGGAGACAGGUUAGGAUUCCGUUCAGUGUUCUGACCUAUGAAUAUCUGAAAGACUAACAGACUAACAUU
This 109-nucleotide small nucleolar RNA is filed under the name Mus pahari (shrew mouse). RNAcentral describes it as "snoRNA (MGP_PahariEiJ_G0034140.1)". It matches the Rfam family "Small nucleolar RNA SNORA17". From Rfam's summary of the family: snoRNA ACA 17 belongs to the H/ACA family of snoRNAs and is predicted to guide pseudouridylation of the 28S rRNA at positions U4659 and U4598. It shares the same host gene together with ACA43. Lineage: Eukaryota; Metazoa; Chordata; Mammalia; Rodentia; Muridae. The record is from RNAcentral.